AUACAUAGUUGGGCUGAUUCCUUUACUUAGCUCAGAAUAAAACGUUUGCUCAAAAAAAAAAAAAGCUCGGAAUAAAACGAGAAAGGUUGCCACAGGUGGGCUUCUAAGAAAUGUGUUUAUGGCUUACUGAGGAAAAGGAGACCGUUCUACAAAACAAAACAACAAAACUUAUCUCCAUCUCAAAAAAAAAAUGAGAACCUUUUUCGAAUGAAGAAAAAGAUGACUUGCCUC
This 231-nucleotide long non-coding RNA is filed under the name Brachypodium distachyon (stiff brome). Its description in RNAcentral is "long non-coding RNA (BDIS_LNC000589)". Lineage: Eukaryota; Viridiplantae; Streptophyta; Magnoliopsida; Poales; Poaceae. The record is from RNAcentral.